AAUAUUGCACAAUGGGGGAAACCCUGAUGCAGCGACGCCGCGUGAGUGAAGAAGUAUUUCGGGAUGUAAAGCUCUAUCAGCAGGGAAGAAAAUGACGGUACCUGACUAAGAAGCCCCGGAUAAUUACGUGCCAGCAGCCGCGGUAAUACGUAGGGGGCAAGCGUUAACCGGAUUUAAUGGGUGGAAAGGGAGAGUGGGUGGGGCGGCAAGUUAGAAGUGGAAGCCCGGGGCUCAACCCCGGGACUGCAUUUGAAACUGUCGAACUAGAGUGCAGGAGAGGUAAGUGGAAUUCCUAGUGUAGCGGUGAAAUGCGUAGAUAUUAGGAGGAACACCAGUGGCGAAGGCGGCUUACUGGACUGUAACUGACACUGAGGCUCGAAAGCGUGGGGAGCAAACAGG
RNAcentral lists this ribosomal RNA (399 nucleotides) under uncultured bacterium. RNAcentral's name for it is "partial 16S ribosomal RNA". It matches the Rfam family "Bacterial small subunit ribosomal RNA", at positions 360 to 776 of the family's 1533-position model. The record is from RNAcentral.